CAUUUGCCAAGAAUGUUUUUCAUUAAUCAAGAACGAAAGUUAGAGGUUCGAAGGCGAUUAGAUACCGCCCUAGUUCUAACCAUAAACGAUGCCAGCUAGCGAUCUGAGGACGUUUUUUUUGUAGACUCCUCAGGAAGCUUCCGGGAAACCAAAGCGUGUGGGUUCCGGGGGAAGUAUGGUUGCAAAGCUGAAACUUAAAGGAAUUGACGGAAGGGCACCACCAGGAGUGGAGCCUGCGGCUUAAUUUGACUCAACACGGGAAAUCUCACCAGGCCCGGACACUGGAAGGAUUGACAGAUUGAGAGCUCUUUCUCGAUUCGGUGGGUGGUGGUGCAUGGCCGUUCUUAGUUGGUGGAGUGAUUUGUCUGGUUAAUUCCGAUAACGAACGAGACUCUGUCCUGCUAAAUAGUGUCAGCCUCUCUUUUGGGCUGACAAUUCUUCUUAGAGGGACUGGUGGUUCCUAACCACACGAGAUAGAGCAAUAACAGGUCUGUGAUGCCCUUAGAUGUUCUGGGCCGCACGCGCGCUACACUGAAUAGAUCAGCGUGUUCUCCCUUUCUGAGAAGAACGGGUAAACCGUUGAACCCUAUUCGUGGUAGGGAUCGGGGCUUGCAAUUAUUCCCCGUGAACCAGGAAUUCCCAGUAGGCGCAAGUCAUAAGCUUGCGUCGAUUACGUCCCUGCCCUUUGUACACACCGCCCGUCGCUACUACCGAUUGAACGUUUUAGUGAGGUCCACGGACUGUUUGCCAAGCGGAUUGUUCUGCCUGGCUGGCGGGAAGUCGACC
This 786-nucleotide ribosomal RNA is filed under the name Augaptilus glacialis. Its description in RNAcentral is "SSU rRNA". It matches the Rfam family "Eukaryotic small subunit ribosomal RNA", at positions 952 to 1760 of the family's 1831-position model. The record is from RNAcentral. Lineage: Eukaryota; Metazoa; Arthropoda; Copepoda; Calanoida; Augaptilidae.